CUAAUGAAAAGGAGUACAAGAGCUGAACUUCCCUGUUUCUGAGACAGGGAGGAGGCCCUGCUGACUGACCCUCAGGCUGGGUCACCUGGCACCUGACAUGGGGCAGCAAGAACCAGAGACCACCCCAUGAGGGACAUUACUGGAAGAAGGGUCGACUGAAAACUCAAAAGUGAAACUAAAGUGAUCACCACAGGAACCUGCCAAGUCAGGACCCUUGACGAAAAUGGGUCAAGAAAUAAGGCGGCAUGAACUAUAUGUGGAACAAAUGAGAAAGGCUUCAAAGAUGCAAGGAGUAAAGGGAACAUGAAGAUUCUCUACAUCCUGAUGCUACUACUGCCUUUCACAACUGCCUUCAAACUGGAACAGAUCAACCAGCAUAUGCCAUAUAACCUGACUUGGCAAGUCCUCAGUGCUGAAGGAGUCAUCAGCAGCAGUGCCUCCAAGGUGGCUCCAUUGGACUCUUGGUUCCCUGACUUAUGAUUUAGUGGACUACAUCUCUUUAACUGUAUAAAGUGGGGUCAACACUCUA
Molecule: long non-coding RNA, 529 nt
Organism: Mastomys coucha (southern multimammate mouse)
Lineage: Eukaryota; Metazoa; Chordata; Mammalia; Rodentia; Muridae
Exons: 3
Source: RefSeq, a predicted model, not a curated record